UACGUAGGGGGCUAGCGUUGUCCGGAAUCAUUGGGCGUAAAGCGCGUGUAGGCGGCCCGGUAAGUCCGCUGUGAAAGUCCAGGGCUCAACCCUGGGAUGCCGGUGGAUACUGUCGGGCUCGAGUCCGGAAGAGGCGAGUGGAAUUCCUGGUGUAGCGGUGAAAUGCGUAGAUAUCAGGAGGAACACCUGUGGCGAAAGCGGCGCACUGGACCACAACUGACGCUGAGGCGCGAAAGCUAGGGGAGCAAACAGG
RNAcentral lists this ribosomal RNA (253 nucleotides) under uncultured bacterium. RNAcentral's name for it is "partial 16S ribosomal RNA". It matches the Rfam family "Bacterial small subunit ribosomal RNA", at positions 524 to 776 of the family's 1533-position model. The record is from RNAcentral.